This 477-nucleotide ribosomal RNA is filed under the name uncultured organism. Its description in RNAcentral is "partial 16S ribosomal RNA". It matches the Rfam family "Bacterial small subunit ribosomal RNA", at positions 331 to 799 of the family's 1533-position model. The record is from RNAcentral.
GUACACUCCUGCGGGAGGCAGCAGUGGGGAAUUUUGGACAAUGGGCGAAAGCCUGAUCCAGCAAUGCCGCGUGAGUGAAGAAGGCCUUCGGGUUGUAAAGCUCUUUUGUCAGGGAAGAAACGGUGAAAGCUAAUAUCUUUUGCUAAUGACGGUACCUGAAGAAUAAGCACCGGCUAACUACGUGCCAGCAGCCGCGGUAAUACGUAGGGUGCAAGCGUUAAUCGGAAUUACUGGGCGUAAAGCGUGCGCAGGCGGUUUUGUAAGUCUGAUGUGAAAUCCCCGGGCUCAACCUGGGAAUUGCAUUGGAGACUGCAAGGCUAGAAUCUGGCAGAGGGGGGUAGAAUUCCACGUGUAGCAGUGAAAUGCGUAGAUAUGUGGAGGAACACCGAUGGCGAAGGCAGCCCCCUGGGUCAAGAUUGACGCUCAUGCACGAAAGCGUGGGGAGCAAACAGGAUUAGAAACCCCUGUAGUCCCAUG